AUUGAACGCUGGCGGCAGGCCUAACACAUGCAAGUCGAACGGUAACAGGAAGCAGCUUGCUGCUUUGCUGACGAGUGGCGGCCGGGUGAGUAAUGUCUGGGAAACUGCCCGAUGGAGGGGGAUAACUACUGGAAACGGUAGCUAAUACCGCAUAACGUCGCAAGACCAAAGAGGGGGACCUUAGGGCCUCUUGCCAUCGGAUGUGCCCAGAUGGGAUUAGCUAGUAGGUGGGGUAACGGCUCACCUAGGCGACGAUCCCUAGCUGGUCUGAGAGGAUGACCAGCCACGCUGGAACUGAGAAACGGUCCAGACUCCUACGGGAGGCAGCAGUGGGGAAUAUUGCACAAUGGGCGCAAGCCUGAUGCAGCCAUGCCGCGUGUAUGAAGAAGGCCUUCGGGUUGUAAAGUACUUUCAGCGGGGAGGAAGGGAGUAAAGUUAAUACCUUUGCUAAUUGACGUUACCCGCAGAAGAAGCACCGGCUAACUCCGUG
RNAcentral lists this ribosomal RNA (490 nucleotides) under uncultured bacterium. RNAcentral describes it as "partial 16S ribosomal RNA". It matches the Rfam family "Bacterial small subunit ribosomal RNA", at positions 30 to 507 of the family's 1533-position model. The record is from RNAcentral.